RNAcentral lists this long non-coding RNA (199 nucleotides) under Carica papaya (papaya). Its description in RNAcentral is "long non-coding RNA (CPAP_LNC006372)". The record is from RNAcentral. Lineage: Eukaryota; Viridiplantae; Streptophyta; Magnoliopsida; Brassicales; Caricaceae.
UGAACUCAACUUUUCUGUCUACUGGCAGUUCGGGUAGUUCAUCAAGAAACACAUUCGAUAAGUUUCGGACUACCGGAAUCUCUUGAAUACAAACUUCUUUCCUAGAUUUUCCUAAUGUAGAAAAGAUAACCGAGUUAAAGCACUAUGUAAUGAGGAAAUUACCAUGAGGAAAUAACAUUUAAAAUUUUCAUUAACAUGU